RNAcentral lists this ribosomal RNA (1416 nucleotides) under metagenome. RNAcentral describes it as "bacterial LSU rRNA". It matches the Rfam family "Bacterial large subunit ribosomal RNA", at positions 1487 to 2925 of the family's 2925-position model. The record is from RNAcentral.
UAAGCCGGGAAUGGAAAGCCCGGUGCAAGCGGGGUACCAGUCACUUUGGCAAAUCCGGGUGGCAAUGGGAAGCCGUGAUGCGGAGCGAAAUAAAGUAGCGAAGUCCGUGAGCCAUGCGCCAAGAAAAGCCGCUAUCGUUUAUACCGUACCCGUACCGUAAACCGACACAGGUGGAUGAGGAGAGAAUCCUAAGGCCGGCGGAAGAAGCAUUGUCAAGGAACUCGGCAAAAUGGCCCCGUAACUUAGGGAUAAGGGGUGCCUGGGAAACCAGGCCGCAGAGAAUAGGCUCAAGCAACUGUUUAGCAAAAACACAGGUCUAUGCGAAACCGAAAGGUGAGGUAUAUGGGCUGACGCCUGCCCGGUGCUGGAAGGUUAAGAGGAGAGGUUAGCGGUAACGCGAAGCUUUGAAUUUAAGCCCCAGUAAACGGCGGCCGUAACUAUAACGGUCCUAAGGUAGCGAAAUUCCUUGUCGGGUAAGUUCCGACCCGCACGAAAGGCGUAAUGAUUUGAGCGCUGUCUCGACAAUGCAUCCGGUGAAAUUGAAGUACCAGUGAAGAUGCUGGUUACCUGCGCCAGGACGGAAAGACCCCAUGGAGCUUUACUCCAGUCUGGUACUGGGACUCGGUAUUGCAUGUACAGGAUAGGUGGGAGGCUAGGAGAUGGUAACGCCAGUUGCCAUGGAGCCGCUGUUGGGAUACCACCCUUGCAGUAUUGGGUUUCUAACCAGCCGCCGUGACCCGGCGGUGGACAAUGCCAGACGGGGAGUUUGACUGGGGCGGUCGCCUCCGAAAGGGUAUCGGAGGCGCCCAAAGGUUCCCUCAGAAUGGACGGAAACCAUUCGAAGAGUGCAAAGGCAGAAGGGAGCUUGACUGCGACACCGACGGGUGGAGCAGGUACGAAAGUAGGGCUUAGUGAUCCGGUGGUAUUAAGUGGGAAUGCCAUCGCUCAACGGAUAAAAGCUACCCUGGGAUAACAGGCUUAUCACUCCCAAGAGUUCUCAUCGACGGAGUGGUUUGGCACCUCGAUGUCGGCUCAUCGCAUCCUGGGGCUGUAGUAGGUCCCAAGGGUUGGGCUGUUCGCCCAUUAAAGCGGUACGCGAGCUGGGUUCAGAACGUCGUGAGACAGUUCGGUCCCUAUCCGGCGUGGGCGUAGGAUAUCUGAGAGGAGCUGUCCUUAGUACGAGAGGACCGGGAUGGACGGGCCGCUGGUGCAUCGGUUAGACUGCCAAGUCUACCCCGAGUAGCCAAGCCCGGAAGGGAUAAACGCUGAAGGCAUCUAAGCGUGAAGCCCCCCUUAAGAUGAGAUAUCCCAUUCGAAAGAAGUAAACCCCCUUGAAGACGACGAGGUAGAUAGGGCAGAGGUGGAAGUGCAGUAAUGCAUGGAGCUGACUGUUACUAAUCGGGUGAGGGCUUGACC